RNAcentral lists this ribosomal RNA (497 nucleotides) under uncultured bacterium. RNAcentral's name for it is "partial 16S ribosomal RNA". It matches the Rfam family "Bacterial small subunit ribosomal RNA", at positions 28 to 507 of the family's 1533-position model. The record is from RNAcentral.
GAUGAACGCUGGCGGCGUGCCUAAUACAUGCAAGUCGAGCGAACGGACGAGAAGCUUGCUUCUCUGAUGUUAGCGGCGGACGGGUGAGUAACACGUGGAUAACCUACCUAUAAGACUGGGAUAACUUCGGGAAACCGGAGCUAAUACCGGAUAAUAUUUUGAACCGCAUGGUUCAAAAGUGAAAGACGGUCUUGCUGUCACUUAUAGAUGGAUCCGCGCUGCAUUAGCUAGUUGGUAAGGUAACGGCUUACCAAGGCAACGAUGCAUAGCCGACCUGAGAGGGUGAUCGGCCACACUGGAACUGAGACACGGUCCAGACUCCUACGGGAGGCAGCAGUAGGGAAUCUUCCGCAAUGGGCGAAAGCAUGACGGAGCAACGCCGCGUGAGUGAUGAAGGUCUUCGGAGCGUAAAACUCUGUUAUUAGGGAAGAACAUAUGUGUAAGUAACUGUGCACAUCUUGACGGUACCUAAUCAGAAAGCCACGGCUAACUACGUG